This 152-nucleotide small nuclear RNA is filed under the name Cavia porcellus (domestic guinea pig). RNAcentral describes it as "U2 spliceosomal RNA (ENSCPOG00000027775.2)". The stretch from base 1 to 114 matches the Rfam family "U2 spliceosomal RNA". Rfam says of the family: U2 is a small nuclear RNA (snRNA) component of the spliceosome (involved in pre-mRNA splicing). Complementary binding between U2 snRNA (in an area lying towards the 5' end but 3' to hairpin I) and the branchpoint sequence (BPS) of the intron results the bulging out of an unpaired adenosine, on the BPS, which initiates a nucleophilic attack at the intronic 5' splice site, thus starting the first of two transesterification reactions that mediate splicing. The record is from RNAcentral. Lineage: Eukaryota; Metazoa; Chordata; Mammalia; Rodentia; Caviidae.
AUUGCUUCUCAGACUUUUGAAUAAGAUCAUGUGUAUUAUCUGUUCCUAUCAGUUUAAUAUCUGAUGCGUCUUUUAUCCAAGGAUGAUACAUUAGUGGGUUUUUCUCCACAUAUUGACGUGGUAAAUGCAGUACCUCCAGUAAUGGAGCAACA